RNAcentral lists this ribosomal RNA (432 nucleotides) under uncultured bacterium. Its description in RNAcentral is "partial 16S ribosomal RNA". It matches the Rfam family "Bacterial small subunit ribosomal RNA", at positions 29 to 507 of the family's 1533-position model. The record is from RNAcentral.
ACGAACGCUGGCGGCAUGCCUAACACAUGCAAGUCGAACGAGACCUUCGGGUCUAGUGGCGCACGGGUGCGUAACGCGUGGGAACCUGCCCUUAGGUUCGGAAUAACUCCCCGAAAGGGGUGCUAAUACCGGAUAAUGUCUUCGGACCAAAGAUUUAUCGCCUUUGGAUGGGCCCGCGUUGGAUUAGCUAGUUGGUAGGGUAAAAGCCUACCAAGGCAACGAUCCAUAGCUGGUCUGAGAGGAUGAUCAGCCACACUGGGACUGAGACACGGCCCAGACUCCUACGGGAGGCAGCAGUGGGGAAUAUUGGACAAUGGGCGAAAGCCUGAUCCAGCAAUGCCGCGUGAGUGAUGAAGGCCUUAGGGUUGUAAAGCUCUUUUACCCGGGAUGAUAAUGACAGUACCGGGAGAAUAAGCUCCGGCUAACUCCGUG